UUCGCCCUUUUCCGGUUGAUCCUGCCGGACCCCACUGCUAUCGAGAUGGGACUAAGCCAUGCUAGUUGAACGACCCGAACUAUGGCGGGAAGUGGCACACUGCUCAGUAACACGUAGCUAACCUACCCUUUGGACGGGUACAACCCCGGGAAACUGAGGUUAAUACCCGAUAGGUGUGGAAACCUGGAAUGGUACCACGCCAAAAAGUAACGCGCCCAUGUGUGUGUUUACGCCGAAGGAUGGGGCUGCGGCCGAUCAGGCUGUUGGUGAGGUAACGGCUCACCAAACCUUUGACCGGUACGGGCCAUGAGAGUGGUAGCCCGGAGAUGGGCACUGAGACAAGGGCCCAGGCCCUACGGGGCGCAGCAGGCGCGAAACCUCCACAAUUCACGAAAGUGAGAUGGGGCUAUCUCGAGUGCCGCCUGAUGAAGGUGGCUUUUCCAUUGUGUAAUGAGCC
Molecule: ribosomal RNA, 457 nt
Filed under: uncultured archaeon
Lineage: Archaea
Description: bacterial SSU rRNA
Rfam family: Archaeal small subunit ribosomal RNA
Source: RNAcentral